GACGAACGCUGGCGGCGUGCUUAACACAUGCAAGUCGAACGGAAAGGCCCUGCUUUUGUGGGGUGCUCGAGUGGCGAACGGGUGAGUAACACGUGAGUAACCUGCCCUUGACUUUGGGAUAACUUCAGGAAACUGGGGCUAAUACCGGAUAGGAGCUCCUGCUGCAUGGUGGGGGUUGGAAAGUUUCGGCGGUUGGGGAUGGACUCGCGGCUUAUCAGCUUGUUGGUGGGGUAGUGGCUUACCAAGGCUUUGACGGGUAGCCGGCCUGAGAGGGUGACCGGCGACAUUGGGACUGAGAUACGGCGCAGACUCCUACGGGGGGCAGCAGUGGGGAGUAUUGCACAAUGGGCGGGAGCCUGAUGCAGCGGCGCCGCGUGCGGGAUGACGGCCUUCGGGUUGUAAACCGCUUUCGCCUGUGACGAAGCGGGAGUGACGGUAAUGGGUAAAGAAGCACCGGCUAACUACGUG
RNAcentral lists this ribosomal RNA (468 nucleotides) under uncultured bacterium. RNAcentral's name for it is "partial 16S ribosomal RNA". It matches the Rfam family "Bacterial small subunit ribosomal RNA", at positions 28 to 507 of the family's 1533-position model. The record is from RNAcentral.